UCUAGCCUGCCCACUGAUUUAGUUUAAAGGGCCGCGGUAUAUUGACCGUGCGAAGGUAGCAUAAUCAUUAGUCUUUUAAUUGAAGGCUUGUAUGAAUGGUUGGACAAAAAGUAAGCUGUCUCAAUUAUAAUGAUUGAACUUAACUUUUAAGUGAAAAGGCUUAAAUAAAUUAAGGGGACGAUAAGACCCUAUAAAGCUUGACAAUAAUUUAAUUAUACUAUCAAUUGUUAGUGUAACUUGGUUUUAAUUAAAAUUUGUUGCGUUGGGGCGACGAGAAUAUAAUAGGUAACUGUUCUUAAAUAUUUAAUAACAAAUAUAAUUGAAAAUUAGUGUGAUCCUCUAUUAGCGAUUAAAAGAUUAAGUUACUUUAGGGAUAACAGCGUAAUCUUCUUUGAGAGUCCAUAUCGACAAGAAGGUUUGCGACCUCGAUGUUGAAUUAAGGUAUCCUUAUGAUGCAGCAGUUAUAAAGGAA
RNAcentral lists this ribosomal RNA (472 nucleotides) under Penaeus merguiensis. RNAcentral describes it as "partial 16S ribosomal RNA". It matches the Rfam family "Bacterial large subunit ribosomal RNA", at positions 1853 to 2572 of the family's 2925-position model. Lineage: Eukaryota; Metazoa; Arthropoda; Malacostraca; Decapoda; Penaeidae. The record is from RNAcentral.